AUACGUAGGUGGCAAGCGUUGUCCGGAAUUAUUGGGCGUAAAGCGCGCGCAGGUGGUUCCUUAAGUCUGAUGUGAAAGCCCACGACUCAACCGUGGAGGGUCAUUGGAAACUGGGGAACUUGAGUGCAGAAGAGGAAAGUGGAAUUCCAAGUGUAGCGGUGAAAUGCGUAGAGAUUUGGAGGAACACCAGUGGCGAAGGCGGCUUACUGGUCCAUUACUGACGCUGAGGCGCGAAAGCGUGGGGAGC
RNAcentral lists this ribosomal RNA (247 nucleotides) under uncultured bacterium. RNAcentral's name for it is "partial 16S ribosomal RNA". It matches the Rfam family "Bacterial small subunit ribosomal RNA", at positions 523 to 769 of the family's 1533-position model. The record is from RNAcentral.